This 70-nucleotide transfer RNA is filed under the name Marmota marmota marmota (Alpine marmot). It matches the Rfam family "tRNA". Rfam says of the family: Transfer RNA (tRNA) molecules are approximately 80 nucleotides in length. Their secondary structure includes four short double-helical elements and three loops (D, anti-codon, and T loops). RNAcentral also lists the same sequence under 1 other name. The record is from Rfam by way of RNAcentral. Lineage: Eukaryota; Metazoa; Chordata; Mammalia; Rodentia; Sciuridae.
UGGGUUGUGGCUCAGUGGCAGAGCUCUUGCCUAGCAAGUGAGGUACUGUGUUCGAUUCUCAGCACCACAU